This 518-nucleotide ribosomal RNA is filed under the name uncultured bacterium. Its description in RNAcentral is "bacterial SSU rRNA". It matches the Rfam family "Bacterial small subunit ribosomal RNA", at positions 55 to 575 of the family's 1533-position model. The record is from RNAcentral.
AUGCAGUCGAAGGAGCGGGGCACCUGGCGGCGAGUGGCGAACGGGUGAGUAAUAUAUCGGAACGUACCCUGGAGUGGGGGAUAACGUAGCGAAAGUUACGCUAAUACCGCAUACGAUCUAAGGAUGAAAGCAGGGGACCGCAAGGCCUUGUGCUCCUGGAGCGGCCGAUAUCUGAUUAGCUAGUUGGUGGGGUAAAGGCCUACCAAGGCAUCGAUCAGUAGCUGGUCUGAGAGGACGACCAGCCACACUGGAACUGAGACACGGUCCAGACUCCUACGGGAGGCAGCGGUGGGGAAUUUUGGACAAUGGGCGCAAGCCUGAUCCAGCAAUGCCGCGUGAGUGAAGAAGGCCUUCGGGUUGUAAAGCUCUUUUGUCAGGGAAGAAACGGUGAGGGCUAAUAUCCUUUGCUAAUGACGGUACCUGAAGAAUAAGCACCGGCUAACUACGUGCCAAGCAGCCGCGGUAAUACGUAGGGUGCAAGCGUUAAUCGGAAUUACUGGGCGUAAAGCGUGCGCCAG